RNAcentral lists this ribosomal RNA (460 nucleotides) under uncultured bacterium. Its description in RNAcentral is "partial 16S ribosomal RNA". It matches the Rfam family "Bacterial small subunit ribosomal RNA", at positions 338 to 795 of the family's 1533-position model. The record is from RNAcentral.
CCUACGGGAGGCAGCAGUGAGGAAUAUUGGUCAAUGGACGAGAGUCUGAACCAGCCAAGUAGCGUGAAGGAUGACUGCCCUAUGGGUUGUAAACUUCUUUUAUAAAGGAAUAAAACGAGGCACGUGUGCCUUUUUGCAUGUACUUUAUGAAUAAGGAUCGGCUAACUCCGUGCCAGCAGCCGCGGUAAUACGGAGGAUCCGAGCGUUAUCCGGAUUUCUUGGGGUUAAAGGGAGCGUAGAUGGGUUGUUAAGUCAGUUGUGAAAGUUUGCGGCUCAACCGUAAAAUUGCAAUUGAUACUGGCAGUCUUGAGUACAGUUGAGGUAGGCGGAAUUCGUGGUGUAGCGGUGAAAUGCUUAGAUAUCACGAAGAACCCCGAUUGCGAAGGCAGCUUACUAAACUGUGACUGACAUUGAUGCUCGAAAGUGUGGGUAUCAAACAGGAUUAGAUACCCCUGUAGUC